UAUACGGAAAAUCUACAUAGCAAUGAGAUCAUUCCCCUUGAGCAAUGACAUAACAUCAAUAGUUUUUACAGUUGACACAUGCAAGGAUUCUGUGCCGGAAAGAUCCAGUGGAAGCAGAUUGUCAGCGGAUUCUUUCUAACUUCUAAACGAAAUGAGUAAUGAGAUAGCGAUUUCAAGUAUGGCCAUAGUAGAAAUAAGUGUCCCUUAGAAAUUAUAGCAAAGGCGAUAGUACAAAACUAGAGUAUUCUGCAGGAAGAGAACAAGAUAUUAGUUGGAAUAUGAAGUUGAGCAAGAAGGCAGCGUUGUUGAAAAUCGGUGAAGUGAUGGCGGCGACUUUUCGGAUGCAGCCAGUGGAAGUAACGUUCGGGAGCCAAGAAAGAGAGACGACGGCGGGCGGCAAGCAGCUGGAGGAUGGACCUACGAACAGAUAAACAGAUGGAUGGAUAGACGACGGACGAGUGGACCAACAUACGUUAGAACGGUAUCAAGUAUUACAAUGAUAUCCUGUUCGUGAGGAGCACUCAAGGGUGAAAACGACUACGUCAAAGGUAGAGAAAUAGACGCGGCAUGGCUAACGUCAGUGCAGACGCUUUCAGUGAAUAUAAUAGCUCAUGGAGGAACAAAUACCAAGAUUAGCCAACAAUGAGAGAGCAUUGAAGUCAAUGUUGAUACUAUACUAAAGCAACUAAUCUCUACAACGAAAUCGCUUUCUCUGGACUUGACUUCUUCAUUUGCUGUUGACGUCUUCGCAUUGCAACAUUAUGCAGUUAAUUUUCGAUCAAUGAAUGAGAGCAACUGGAAAAUGAACUGGACUGAAUUAGCAGAUUAUCUACAAUAGCAUAUCCUUCUGCCUGGAUUUGGUUUUCUUUCCACACCUGCAAACUUUAGAACAUCGCACUCUGGCACUUUAUUAUGGUGCAUAUUUUUUGCUUACCUCUUCCACUUUACUUACUACUCAUUCUUCCUAUUUUUCUCAACAUUUACUCUACCUUGUCUUCCACAUGAUUCAAAAUUUCUUUAUUGUGUUCAAUUUUAUUCUCAUCUUUGUGGGAGGAGGGAGGGCCGUCCCGAACAAGUCCCCUUAGCCUGUUUUUUAAUUGUUUUUUAAAAGUGUCAUACACUUUUCGCGGAUAUACUGUAGCUUAUCUGGAAUAGGAGGGAUAGACUACUGCCCAGCUUGCUCUGACGAAAUUUGUCUGAUCUUCUCCACCAAAUCUAUUAUUCUUUGCCGUUAGGCCUAGGGCGCAUUGUAAUUUUUUAAUCGCGUGAUCAUUUAGUCGCAAUAAUGUAACACAAGCUAGUAAAUGCAAAUGCGCGCAUAUGCGACUAAAUAAGCCGUGAAAUGGAUGUUUUACCAAUAUGGAUUUAAAUAAUACAUACAUUUGUUUUUUGAAAAUUUAAGCACUCAACAAGUUAAUUAAUUUCUAUAUCAUUGUUUCCCUUAUUGCACAAUAUAAGUCAAUAUAAGUAUAAAAAAAAAUACAACGUGUAAUUAUAGAACACGCUACUGAAGUGAAACUUCUUCAAACAUACCGGG
This is a long non-coding RNA of Agrilus planipennis (emerald ash borer), 1537 nucleotides long. RefSeq lists it as uncharacterized. The transcript has 4 exons. Lineage: Eukaryota; Metazoa; Arthropoda; Insecta; Coleoptera; Buprestidae. The record is from RefSeq and is a predicted model, not a curated record.